AGUGAACGCUGGCGGUAGGCCUAACACAUGCAAGUCGAACGGCAGCACAGUAAGAGCUUGCUCUUACGGGUGGCGAGUGGCGGACGGGUGAGGAAUACAUCGGAAUCUACUUUUUCGUGGGGGAUAACGUAGGGAAACUUACGCUAAUACCGCAUACGACCUACGGGUGAAAGCAGGGGAUCUUCGGACCUUGCGCGAUUGAAUGAGCCGAUGUCGGAUUAGCUAGUUGGCGGGGUAAAGGCCCACCAAGGCGACGAUCCGUAGCUGGUCUGAGAGGAUGAUCAGCCACACUGGAACUGAGACACGGUCCAGACUCCUACGGGAGGCAGCAGUGGGGAAUAUUGGACAAUGGGCGCAAGCCUGAUCCAGCCAUACCGCGUGGGUGAGGAAGGCCUUCGGGUUGUAAAGCCCUUUUGUUGGGAAAGAAAAGCAGCAGGUUAAGACCCCGCUGUUCUGACGGUACCCAAAGAAUAAGCACCGGCUAACUUCGU
RNAcentral lists this ribosomal RNA (491 nucleotides) under uncultured bacterium. RNAcentral describes it as "partial 16S ribosomal RNA". It matches the Rfam family "Bacterial small subunit ribosomal RNA", at positions 29 to 506 of the family's 1533-position model. The record is from RNAcentral.